Molecule: ribosomal RNA, 397 nt
Filed under: uncultured bacterium
Lineage: Bacteria
Description: partial 16S ribosomal RNA
Rfam family: Bacterial small subunit ribosomal RNA
Source: RNAcentral
UGGGGAAUAUUGGACAAUGGGGGGCAACCCUGAUCCAGCAAUGCCGCGUGUGUGAAGAAGGUUUUCGGAUUGUAAAGCACUUUCGACGGGGACGAUGAUGACGGUACCCGUAGAAGAAGCCCCGGCUAACUUCGUGCCAGCAGCCGCGGUAAUACGAAGGGGGCUAGCGUUGCUCGGAAUGACUGGGCGUAAAGGGCGUGUAGGCGGUUUGUACAGUCAGAUGUGAAAUCCCCGGGCUUAACCUGGGAGCUGCAUUUGAUACGUGCAGACUAGAGUGUGAGAGAGGGUUGUGGAAUUCCCAGUGUAGAGGUGAAAUUCGUAGAUAUUGGGAAGAACACCGGUGGCGAAGGCGGCAACCUGGCUCAUAACUGACGCUGAGGCGCGAAAGCGUGGGGAG